This 61-nucleotide transfer RNA is filed under the name Goodenia glabrata. RNAcentral describes it as "Velleia glabrata partial tRNA-Leu". Lineage: Eukaryota; Viridiplantae; Streptophyta; Magnoliopsida; Asterales; Goodeniaceae. The record is from RNAcentral.
AAAAUUAUAGUAAAAGGAAAAUCCGUUGAUUUCAAAAAAUCGUGAGGGUUCUCUAUCCCCA